This 460-nucleotide ribosomal RNA is filed under the name uncultured bacterium. RNAcentral describes it as "partial 16S ribosomal RNA". It matches the Rfam family "Bacterial small subunit ribosomal RNA", at positions 338 to 795 of the family's 1533-position model. The record is from RNAcentral.
CCUACGGGUCGCAGCAGUGAGGAAUAUUGGUCAAUGGACGAGAGUCUGAACCAGCCAAGUAGCGUGAAGGAUGACUGCCCUAUGGGUUGUAAACUUCUUUUAUAAAGGAAUAAAACGAGGCACGUGUGCCUUUUUGCAUGUACUUUAUGAAUAAGGAUCGGCUAACUCCGUUCCAGCAGCUUCGGUAAUACGGAGGAUCCGAGCGUUAUCCGGAUUUAUUGGGUUUAAAGGGACCGUAGAUGGGUUGUUAAGUCAGUUGUGAAUGUUUGCGGCUCAACCGUAAGAUUGCAAUUGAUACUGGCAGUCUUGAGUACAGUUGAGGUAAGCGGAAUUCGUGGUGUAGCGGUGAAAUGCUUAGAUAUCACGAAGAACCCCGAUUGCGAAGGCAGCUUACUAAACUGUGACUGACAUUGAUGCUCGAAAGUGUGGGUAGCAAACAGGAUUAGAUACCCUUGUAGUC